AGAGUUUGAUCAUGGCUCAGGACGAACGCUGGCGGCGUGCUUAACACAUGCAAGUCGAACGGAAAGGCCCUGCUUUUGUGGGGUGCUCGAGUGGCGAACGGGUGAGUAACACGUGAGUAACCUGCCCUUGACUUUGGGAUAACUUCAGGAAACUGGGGCUAAUACCGGAUAGGAGCUCCUGCUGCAUGGUGGGGGUUGGAAAGUUUCGGCGGUUGGGGAUGGACUCGCGGCUUAUCAGCUUGUUGGUGGGGUAGUGGCUUACCAAGGCUUUGACGGGUAGCCGGCCUGAGAGGGUGACCGGCCACAUUGGGACUGAGAUACGGCCCAGACUCCUACGGGAGGCAGCAGUGGGGAAUAUUGCACAAUGGGCGGAAGCCUGAUGCAGCAACGCCGCGUGCGGGAUGACGGCCUUCGGGUUGUAAACCGCUUUCGCCUGUGACGAAGCGUGAGUGACGUAAUGG
Molecule: ribosomal RNA, 461 nt
Filed under: uncultured organism
Description: bacterial SSU rRNA
Rfam family: Bacterial small subunit ribosomal RNA
Source: RNAcentral